AAUAGCCUAACGGCUGAACCAGCAACUUGGAGGAAUGUAUAGCUAAGCUAUAUGGGUUUUACAUUUUUGUAAAAAACAUAUUCGAUUUAUUCGUAUGAAGUUCUAGGUAGAAUUAUGAUAAUGACAUUAUCUAUCUAUAAGUCUUGACCAACAUGCGUGCCAGCAGUCGCGGCAAGACGCUAAAGACUAGUGUUAUUCAUUUUAAUAGGUUUAAAGGGUACCUAGACGGUAAAUUAAGCCUUAAUCGGUACUAAUUUAACUAGAGUUAAAUGUAAGGGUGCAUUAACGUACUAUUGAGUGUAGAGAUGAAAUUCUGUCAUACCAGAUUAUUGGCACGGGUUUAGGCGAAAGCAUCACUUUAUGUAAUAACUGACGUUGAGGGACGAAGGCUUUGUAUCGCUAAAAGGAUUAGAUACCCUCGUAGUCUAAGCAGACAAUGAUGAAUGUCAUAGGUUAAAUAUUGUUUAGUCUAUAAAUGAAAGUGUAAGCAUUCCACCUCAAGAGUAAUUUGGCAACAUUGGAAUUGAAAUCAUUAGACCGUUUCUGAAACCAGUAGUGAAGUAUGUUGUUUAAUUAGAUGGUCCACAAAAAACCUUACCACAACUUGAAUAUUUUACAAGCGUUGCACGGCUGUCUUCAGUUAAUGUCGUGAGAUUUUGGUUAGUUCCAUUAAUUAACGUAAACCCUUGCUUUAUUUUUAUAUAAAGUAGUUCGCCGCUAUAUUGGUUAGAUAAA
RNAcentral lists this ribosomal RNA (735 nucleotides) under Leptogium sp. Its description in RNAcentral is "SSU rRNA". It matches the Rfam family "Bacterial small subunit ribosomal RNA", at positions 370 to 1171 of the family's 1533-position model. Lineage: Eukaryota; Fungi; Ascomycota; Lecanoromycetes; Peltigerales; Collemataceae. The record is from RNAcentral.